UACGUGCCAGCAGCCGCGGAUAAUACGUAGGGUUCGCAAGCGUUAACUCGGAAUUACUGGGCGUAAAGCGUGCGCAAGGCGGUUUUGUUCAAGCCAGACUGUGAAAUCCCCGGGCUUAACCUGGGAAUGGCAAUUUGGGACUUCGCAAGGCCUAGAGUACGGCAGAGGAGACUAGAAUUCCUGGUGAUAGCAGUUGCAAAUGCCGUAGAUAUCAGGAGGAAUACCGAUGGCGAAGGCAGGUCAUCUGGUGCCUGCAUACUGACGCUCAUGCACGAAAGCGUGGGGAGCAAACAGGAUUAAGAUUCACCCCUGGUAGUCCACGCCCUAAACGAUGUCAACUGGUUGUUGGGGAAUUAUUACCUUUCCUUAGUAACGAAGCUAACGCGUGAAGUUGACCGCC
This 400-nucleotide ribosomal RNA is filed under the name uncultured bacterium. RNAcentral's name for it is "bacterial SSU rRNA". It matches the Rfam family "Bacterial small subunit ribosomal RNA", at positions 502 to 873 of the family's 1533-position model. The record is from RNAcentral.